This 200-nucleotide ribosomal RNA is filed under the name uncultured bacterium. RNAcentral's name for it is "partial 16S ribosomal RNA". It matches the Rfam family "Bacterial small subunit ribosomal RNA", at positions 8 to 209 of the family's 1533-position model. The record is from RNAcentral.
AGAGUUUGAUCCUGGCUCAGGACGAACGCUGGCGGCGUGCUUAACACAUGCAAGUCGUGCGAGGACGGCCUUCGGGCCGAGUCGAGCGGCGGACGGGUGAGUAACACGUGAGCAAUCUAUCUCCGCAUGGGGGAUAACCCGGGGAAACUCGGGCUAAUACCGCAUGGUCGGGGACCUCGCAUGGGGUCCUUGGGAAAGGU